UACGUAGGUGACAAGCGUUGUCCGGAUUUACUGGGCGUAAAGAGCGCGCAGGCGGUCGAUCAAGUCGAGUGUGAAAGCCCCCGGCUCAACUGGGGAGGGUCAUUCGAUACUGAUCGACUCGAAGGCAGGAGAGGGUAGUGGAAUUCCCGGUGUAGUGGUGAAAUGCGUAGAGAUCGGGAGGAACAUCAGUGGCGAAGGCGGUCUGCUGGGCCGUUGCUGACGCUGAUACGCGAAAGCGUGGGGAGCAAACAGG
RNAcentral lists this ribosomal RNA (253 nucleotides) under uncultured bacterium. Its description in RNAcentral is "partial 16S ribosomal RNA". It matches the Rfam family "Bacterial small subunit ribosomal RNA", at positions 524 to 776 of the family's 1533-position model. The record is from RNAcentral.